Long non-coding RNA from Papaver somniferum (opium poppy), 278 nucleotides. RefSeq lists it as uncharacterized. The record is from RefSeq and is a predicted model, not a curated record. Lineage: Eukaryota; Viridiplantae; Streptophyta; Magnoliopsida; Ranunculales; Papaveraceae. The transcript is spliced from 3 exons.
GAAGAAGAAGAUGCAUCGUUAUGAUUUACGACGAGAAGAUUGUUUGUGUUUCCAGAAGCGUUGGGUAUCUUUAGAGAGAUGAGAAUUGAAGGAGUUAAAUUGGAAUUGCAUGACUGUAUCUUACUCAUUGCUGGUGCUCCACUUGGUGAAGAAUUGAAGGGGAUUUUGAUUCAUGUGUGAAGGUGGGAACCCGUUCUGCGUUACUCAACUUUGGAUCACCAGUGGAUGCAUCUCAGCUAUAUAAAUUACUCCAUGCCCUUCAUCCACAUCCUCAUUAG